This 452-nucleotide ribosomal RNA is filed under the name uncultured Exidia. RNAcentral's name for it is "eukaryotic LSU rRNA". It matches the Rfam family "Eukaryotic large subunit ribosomal RNA", at positions 211 to 651 of the family's 3401-position model. The record is from RNAcentral. Lineage: Eukaryota; Fungi; Basidiomycota; Agaricomycetes; Auriculariales; Exidiaceae.
GGUGAGAAUACCGUCCAUGACACGGACUUCGCCGUGCUCUGUGAUACACUUCAAAGAGUCGAGNAGAUUCAUAAUGCAGCUCAUAAUAAGUAGUAAAUUCCAUCUACAGCUAUAUACAGCGCGAGUGCCGAUAGCGAACCAGUUCCGUGAUGGAAAGAUGAAAAGUUCUUUGGAAAGAGAGUUAAACAGUACGUGAAAUUGUUGAAAGGGAAACGCUUGGAGUCAGUCGCGUCUGCUGGGGCUCAGCCUUGCUUCUGCUUGGUUUCCUUCUCAGUAGAUGGGCCAGCAUCAAUUUUGGGUGCCGGAAAAUGGCGGGAGGAAUGUGUCAGCUUGCUGUGUUAUAGCCUCCCGUCGUACACGGUGUCUGGGAUUGAGGACUGCAGCACGCCUUCGGUAGGGCUUAGGCCACUCCACGUGCUUAGGAUGCUGGCGUAAUGGCUUUAAACGACCCG